Non-coding RNA from Cordylochernes scorpioides, 73 nucleotides. The record is from the annotation of a GenBank genome assembly. Lineage: Eukaryota; Metazoa; Arthropoda; Arachnida; Pseudoscorpiones; Chernetidae.
GUCCAGGGAUGGGAAUCGAACCCACAGUGUUCCGCUUACCGGGCAGAUGCCAUGUCCACUAGGCUACCCUGGA